CAUCUUUGUAUGUAUCCAAUAAAGACAACUUCGUAGCAAUACACUUCUCAUAUUUUCUAAUGGCAAUUGCAGAAGUUUAACAAAAAUGAGAGCUAUAUGUGUACUUUUAUCUACAUAUGAUCCUCUUCCAAAACUGUAACAAUUAUAGAAGCAUUGAAACGAGUUUGGGUGUCAAACCUGUUUCCUGACACGUGUGUGUGUAUGACUAUACUCCCUAUAAAUAUAGAUGAUGCAAAAUUAUUGGCCGUGAGCUUCAUGAUCAUAUUUCUUGCACAGUUGAACAAUACAAAAACAAAAAUGGAUCAACAACCAACUUUUCAGCCACUUGUCAAUUCUUCUUCGCUAUCUUCGCUGUCAUCACUAUGUUCAGGGAACUUUGAAAGCCGUCUUGCAUCCAAGCCCGUGAUAAACUUUUGAGCAGCCUGAACAUUUUCUGCACCCUUUGUCAACUGGAAGGUGUGCAGGGCACAUCUUUCUGCUGCUAGCCUCACUGGAGUACUACUGUCCUUCAAACAUUCAGCGAGUGCAGGGCCAAUAAUAGAAACAUAGGCCAUAAUAGAUGAAGGACUAGCUUUUGCAACAAUUUUUAGAGCAGAUAAUGCUCUUCUUCUGACUUCACUGGAGUCAUCACGCAAAGCUGACACUAUAGAUGAAAUGAGAUCCGUGUAUGCAGAGGUUUUUGAAGGAUCCCUUUGAAUUUGAUGAAGAAGCAGCCUUCCUAAUGCCUUGGUUGAAGUUUCACGAAGAGGGAACUUCUCAUCUUGCAAGCCAUCCUUAAGGCAGUCUACCAAAGAUGGGAAUUCUGCAGAAGUAAUAACAGAGGAAGGAUUGUGCCUUAGCAAGGACGAGAUAGUGAGUACUGCGCCAUGCCUAGAAACCCAGCUCGAAGAAGAAGCCAAAUUUGAGAGUUGCUGAAGCAGGUCAAUGAGUUGAGCAGCUUCCAUGUACUGUGAUGUGAUACCCAAUAUGCUAGCAGCAGAAAUUCGAACUUGGUCAUCAUCAUGAUGAACCAAAUCGUUCAGUUGACUAUAAACACGAAUUUUGACAGCACUGCUCACACUCUUCCCAGCAUGCUUCAGGACACCUUUUAAAGCCAUGAGGAUAGCCUCCCGCACACCAGCAUCCGAUGCCUGCAGACUGGACAGGAGGUCACUGACUAGAGGAUCAACCCUAGAACUAAGUGCACUAAGCUUCCCAAGUGCAAGGGCGGCACUUGUACGAACCGUCCUUGUGUUAUCUUGCAGACACUUGAUAAAUGUUGUUUGAAGCUGGGGAAGAAACGGUUUCAGGGCCAACCCACCUUUUCUUAUUAUGAUGCUCAAGGUAGACAAAAUGGCACUCUUCACUUGCCAAGGGAAACGAUCACCUAUGAUCCGGAUAAGAGGCCCUGUGACUGGGAUGACAAAUUCCUUAAGUGCUUGUUCACUGGUUACUUCAAUAAGCUCCCCAAGGCCCAAUGCUGCCUGCUCUCUUAAUUCAGCAGAGCCGCUAAUUAAGCCUUGCAGAAAAAUUGGAAGCAAAGGCUGAAGAGCCUUUGGAAGACAGAAACCAGGAAUUAGAACUGGUCCUCCCUUCUUCUUCCUACGUUCUUUAUCUCUGGAUGUGGAGACAGCAUCGCGCACCACUUUUAUAUAAGAAGGAAGUACCUCCUUAGGAACUGAGCUAACAACCCUUGAUAAGGCUUCCCAAGCAGCCGUAACAGUUGUGGAAUCUGUAUCGCUAAGCAAAACAAUCAGUGUAGACAUCAUGUUUGGAGCUUCAUCAACCAAAUAUAGCUUGCUGUUUUUGAAGAAGUAUCCUAUCAGAUAUGACGAACUUCUCCUAACAGAAGCCAUGCUAUCUCCAACACCUUUAAGAAGCUCCGCUAUCAAAUACUCAACACCUUCCUCAUCUAUGACCAAGACCACUGUUUCUGCAGCCUGCUUUGCCAAAGUUUGAACAUCCUUGUCCUCGCCACCCAUUGCAGAUAGUAACGCAGGGAGAACAGUACCAAGAUGAACAUUAAGCCCAGGUCCCGCAACCUCCGCUAAUGCCCCUAGAGCAUGUGCAUUGAAGGCAGAGAGGGGAAGGUGGACCAGCUUGGGCAAAAUAUGGGGCAAUACAGCAGCAGUCCUAACACUUAAAAUUUGUUUGAGGCCAUCAAGAGCAGUAUCGGAGGUCUCGUCAUCCUCCAGAGCAAGCAGAAGUGUUGGAACAAUUUCAUCAAUUGCAUGCAUUCCAGCACUCUUGUACAGAGUGCUGAACGCUAAGCCUGCAGACUCACGAACCUCACGAGUGCUAUCACAAAGGGCAGUCCUAAUAGUGGGGAUGAGCUCGUCCAUGAAACUUAAUAACUGACUCUUCCCAGCACUUGCCAUUACUUCACUCAGACCAAUGCAUACACCCUGUCUUCUGCUAGCAUCAGGAUCCUUCAGCCCCUUGGACAAGAUUGGGAUUAUCAAAGGAAGUACUCUUUCACCCAGCUUCCGAACAAGUUCACCCAAUGACCGUCCAGCAACCUGCCGUCUUUCAGAUGAUGAUGAAGCAAGGGAGGAUAUCAGGGUAUUCAUCAAAACUGGCAUGAUUUCUUUAAGAGUCUUUGGAGUAUUUGCCACGAUAGUUUUCCAUACAUGUAAGGCAGCCUGACGCACGGAUAAGCUCACAUCAGUCCUAACCAUAUAUAGUGCAGCAAGAACUUCAUUACGCUUGUCUCUUCCUAAAACCUCAAUAAUUGCACGCCCAUGUGCUUCUGUGCUAGCACCUUCAUCAUCACUACCACCCUCAAGCAAAGCUUUUCCAGAAGUUCCAGCAACCUUAAAUAAGAGAUCUCCCAAUAAUUCCACAGAGCUUUGUCGGAUACGCCAAUUAUCAUUAAAAAUGCCAUCCUCAACAGCUGGAAGGAGAAGAGGCAAGGACGUUGUUGCAUAGUGCUCGACAAGGACAUGUCCAGCACCUAAUGCUGCAUCUCGCACUGAUUCAUUCUCAUCAGCAAGACCAUCCAAGAUAG
RNAcentral lists this unclassified non-coding RNA (2986 nucleotides) under Hevea brasiliensis (rubber tree). Lineage: Eukaryota; Viridiplantae; Streptophyta; Magnoliopsida; Malpighiales; Euphorbiaceae. The record is from RNAcentral.